CCUACGGGGUGCAGCAGUGGGGAAUAUUGGACAAUGGGCGAAAGCCUGAUCCAGCCAUGCCGCGUGUGUGAAGAAGGCCUUCGGGUUGUAAAGCACUUUCAGUGGGGAAGAAAGCCUUGGGGCUAAUACCCUCGAGGAAGGACAUCACCCACAGAAGAAGCACCGGCUAACUCCGUGCCAGCAGCCGCGGUAAUACGGAGGGUGCGAGCGUUAAUCGGAAUUACUGGGCGUAAAGCGCGCGUAGGCGGUCUGAUAAGCCGGUUGUGAAAGCCCCGGGCUCAACCUGGGGACGGCAUCCGGAACUGUCAGGCUAGAGUGCAGGAGAGGAAGGUAGAAUUCCCGGUGUAGCGGUGAAAUGCGUAGAGAUCGGGAGGAAUACCAGUGGCGAAGGCGGCCUUCUGGACUGACACUGACGCUGAGGUGCGAAAGCGUGGGUAGCAAACAGGAUUAGAUACCCUUGUAGUC
RNAcentral lists this ribosomal RNA (465 nucleotides) under Vreelandella stevensii. Its description in RNAcentral is "partial 16S ribosomal RNA". It matches the Rfam family "Bacterial small subunit ribosomal RNA", at positions 338 to 795 of the family's 1533-position model. The record is from RNAcentral. Lineage: Bacteria; Pseudomonadati; Pseudomonadota; Gammaproteobacteria; Oceanospirillales; Halomonadaceae.